This 639-nucleotide ribosomal RNA is filed under the name Methylobacterium radiotolerans. Its description in RNAcentral is "bacterial SSU rRNA". It matches the Rfam family "Bacterial small subunit ribosomal RNA", at positions 20 to 705 of the family's 1533-position model. The record is from RNAcentral. Lineage: Bacteria; Pseudomonadati; Pseudomonadota; Alphaproteobacteria; Hyphomicrobiales; Methylobacteriaceae.
UGGCUCAGAGCGAACGCUGGCGGCAGGCUUAACACAUGCAAGUCGAGCGGGCCCUUCGGGGUCAGCGGCGGACGGGUGAGUAACGCGUGGGAACGUGCCUUCUGGUUCGGAAUAACCCUGGGAAACUAGGGCUAAUACCGGAUACGCCCUUUUGGGGAAAGGUUUACUGCCGGAAGAUCGGCCCGCGUCUGAUUAGCUUGUUGGUGGGGUAACGGCCUACCAAGGCGACGAUCAGUAGCUGGUCUGAGAGGAUGAUCAGCCACACUGGGACUGAGACACGGCCCAGACUCCUACGGGAGGCAGCAGUGGGGAAUAUUGGACAAUGGGCGCAAGCCUGAUCCAGCCAUGCCGCGUGAGUGAUGAAGGCCUUAGGGUUGUAAAGCUCUUUUAUCCGGGACGAUAAUGACGGUACCGGAGGAAUAAGCCCCGGCUAACUUCGUGCCAGCAGCCGCGGUAAUACGAAGGGGGCUAGCGUUGCUCGGAAUCACUGGGCGUAAAGGGCGCGUAGGCGGCGUUUUAAGUCGGGGGUGAAAGCCUGUGGCUCAACCACAGAAUGGCCUUCGAUACUGGGACGCUUGAGUAUGGUAGAGGUUGGUGGAACUGCGAGUGUAGAGGUGAAAUUCGUANAUAUUCGCAAGA